GGAUCCAGGGGCACAAGAUGAAGGCUGUGGAGGUGGAGGGCUCCCACGUAAUCCAGGAAUUCUACGACUCCAUCGACGUCCACGUCGGCCAGUCCGUUGCGGUCCUCGUCACCCUCGACCAGCCCGCCGGCGCCUACUACAUCGCCGCCUCCACCCGGUUCACAGCGUCCGCGCUGACCGCGACGGCCGUUCUUCGCUACUCCAAGUCAACCUCCCCCGUCUCCGGCCAGAUUCCCCCUCCUCCUGCUUUCCAGCUUGAGGGUUCCAUACUCCAAGCGAGGACCUUCCGGUGGAACUUGACGGCGAACGCUGCCAGGCCCAAUCCCCAGGGUUCUUACAGGUAUGGGAGCAUCCCUCGGACGAGGUCCCUCGUCCUCGCCAACACCGCUCCGGUGGUCAACGGGCGGCAGAGAUACGCAGUCAACGGGUUCACCUAUGUCAACCCCGACACCCCCCUGAAGCUCGCCGACUACUUCAACAUUCAAGGGGUCUUCACCGUGGACAACAUCCCGGCAGCGCCGCCUGCCACCGCCGCCGCCCCCAUCUUCUCCACGUCCGUCCUGAGGUUCAACCUCCGCGACUUCGUCGAGGUCGUCUUCCAGAACAACGAGAAGGAACUGCAGAGCUGGCACAUCGACGGAACCGACUUCUGGGUCGUGGCGUAAGUGGGCCCUAAUACAAUCCUCACAUCAUAAAGUUCGAUCUAUCUUAAAAAGCUAAAUAUUUAUCGUCGAUGAACCAGGUACGGCAACGGGCAG
This 758-nucleotide long non-coding RNA is filed under the name Spirodela polyrhiza (greater duckweed). Its description in RNAcentral is "long non-coding RNA (SPOL_LNC000115)". The record is from RNAcentral. Lineage: Eukaryota; Viridiplantae; Streptophyta; Magnoliopsida; Alismatales; Araceae.